AAGUCGUAACAAGGUUUCCGUAGGUGAACCUGCGGAAGGAUCAUUACAAAGAAAAGCAAGCUUUUAUUACCAUUCGUUCAUGAAUGCUAGUAAUUUCUUGCCUUUUUUUCAAUACACCAUUUAUAUCUUUUACCUUAGUUGCUUUGGCAAAUGUCUUUAAUGUUUACAUUACUGGUAUUUGUCAUUGGAAUUAUCCAAAACUCAUUUGCAAUCCAACAAUUGGAAUAAUCUCAUGUCUGAUUUUUAAUGCUUUUAAUAGUAUAUUUAAAACUUUCAACAAUGGAUCUCUUGGUUCUG
RNAcentral lists this unclassified non-coding RNA (297 nucleotides) under fungal sp. RNAcentral's name for it is "partial internal transcribed spacer region". The stretch from base 1 to 46 matches the Rfam family "Eukaryotic small subunit ribosomal RNA", at positions 1786 to 1831 of the family's 1831-position model. The record is from RNAcentral. RNAcentral also lists the same sequence under 1 other name. Lineage: Eukaryota; Fungi.